RNAcentral lists this ribosomal RNA (923 nucleotides) under uncultured bacterium. Its description in RNAcentral is "bacterial SSU rRNA". It matches the Rfam family "Bacterial small subunit ribosomal RNA", at positions 1 to 917 of the family's 1533-position model. The record is from RNAcentral. RNAcentral also lists the same sequence under 1 other name.
UGGAUCCAGACUUUGAUUAUGGCUCAGGAUGAACGCUAGCUACAGGCUUAACACAUGCAAGUCGAGGGGCAUCAGGAAGAAAGCUUGCUUUCUUUGCUGGCGACCGGCGCACGGGUGAGUAACACGUAUCCAACCUGCCCUUUACUCGGGGAUAGCCUUUCGAAAGAAAGAUUAAUACCCGAUGGGAUAAUUAUUCCGCAUGGUUUGAUUAUUAAAGGAUUCCGGUAAAGGAUGGGGUUGCGUUCCAUUAGGUUGUUGGUGAGGUAACGGCCCACCAAGCCUUCGAUGGAUAGGGGUUCUGAGAGGAAGGUCCCCCACAUUGGAACUGAGACACGGUCCAAACUCCUACGGGAGGCAGCAGUGAGGAAUAUUGGUCAAUGGGCGCUAGCCUGAACCAGCCAAGUAGCGUGAAGGAUGACUGCCCUAUGGGUUGUAAACUUCUUUUAUAUUAGAAUAAAGUGCAGUAUGUAUACUGUUUUGUAUGUAUAAUAUGAAUAAGGAUCGGCUAACUCCGUGCCAGCAGCCGCGGUAAUACGGAGGAUCCGAGCGUUAUCCGGAUUUAUUGGGUUUAAAGGGAGCGUAGGUGGACUGGUAAGUCAGUUGUGAAAGUUUGCGGCUCAACCGUAAAAUUGCAGUUGAUACUGUCAGUCUUGAGUACAGUAGAGGUGGGCGGAAUUCGUGGUGUAGCGGUGAAAUGCUUAGAUAUCACGAAGAACUCCGAUUGCGAAGGCAGCUCACUGGACUGCAACUGACACUGAUGCUCGAAAGUGUGGGUAUCAAACAGGAUUAGAUACCCUGGUAGUCCACACAGUAAACGAUGAAUACUCGCUGUUUGCGAUAUACAGUAAGCGGCCAAGCGAAAGCAUUAAGUAUUCCACCUGGGGAGUACGCCGGCAACGGUGCAACUCAAAUGAAUUGACGGA